GGUUCCGAGUGCGGCCGCUGCUGGGCUGGCGGGCGGGCAGGCAGAGCACGGCACCCUGGCAGCAGGGCCCACGCCACGGGGCCAUGGGCAGCUCGAGCCAGGCAGGCUGCAGCCCACGCUUACUGCCAGGGUGACCCCAGCCCCGGGGCCCAGCCCCAACCACCCUGGCUUCAUGCCAGGGGCUGCUCUGGCUGCCAGUCGGCCAGCCUCGGGGGUGCAGCCUGGGCUGGGACUGCUGCUGGGGUGCAGGUGAGGCACUGGCCGGGCCCUCAGGCCCCAGGGCAGGCAGGCUGCAGGGAGCCAAGUCCUCCAUGGCGGCCCCAGCUGGGAAGACGAACAGGACAGGGGCACUGCGGCCCAGGGCCCAGAAAGGCCGGGUGAGGCGGGCCGUGCGCAUCUCCAGCCUCGUGGCCCAGGAGGUCCUGUCCCUGGGCGCCGACGUGCUGCCUGAGUACAAGCUGCAGGCACCACGCAUCCACCGCUGGACCAUCCUGCAUUACAGCCCCUUCAAGGCCGUGUGGGACUGGCUCAUCCUGCUGCUGGUCAUCUACACGGCCGUCUUCACACCCUACUCGGCUGCCUUCCUGCUGAAGGAGACGGAAGAAGGCCCGCCUGCUACCGAGUGUGGCUACGCCUGCCAGCCGCUGGCUGUGGUGGACCUCAUCGUGGACAUCAUGUUCAUUGUGGACAUCCUCAUCAACUUCCGCACCACCUACGUCAAUGCCAACGAGGAGGUGGUCAGCCACCCCGGCCGCAUCGCCGUCCACUACUUCAAGGGUUGGUUCCUCAUCGACAUGGUGGCCGCCAUCCCCUUCGACCUGCUCAUCUUCGGCUCUGGCUCUGAGGAGCUGAUCGGGCUGCUGAAGACUGCGAGGCUGCUGCGGCUGGUGCGCGUGGCGCGGAAGCUGGAUCGCUACUCAGAGUACGGCGCGGCUGUGCUGUUCUUGCUCAUGUGCACCUUUGCACUCAUCGCGCACUGGCUGGCCUGCAUCUGGUACGCCAUCGGCAACAUGGAGCAGCCGCACAUGGACUCGCGCAUCGGCUGGCUGCACAACCUGGGCGACCAGAUAGGCAAGCCUUACAACAGCAGCGGCCUGGGCGGCCCCUCCAUCAAGGACAAGUACGUGACGGCGCUCUACUUCACCUUCAGCAGCCUCACCAGCGUGGGCUUCGGCAAUGUCUCUCCCAACACCAACUCAGAGAAGAUCUUCUCCAUCUGCGUCAUGCUCAUUGGCUCCCUCAUGUACGCUAGCAUCUUCGGCAACGUGUCGGCCAUCAUCCAGCGGCUGUACUCGGGCACAGCCCGCUACCACACACAGAUGCUGCGGGUGCGGGAGUUCAUCCGCUUCCACCAGAUCCCCAAUCCCCUGCGCCAGCGCCUCGAGGAGUACUUCCAGCACGCCUGGUCCUAUACCAAUGGCAUCGACAUGAACGCGGUGCUGAAGGGCUUCCCUGAGUGCCUGCAGGCUGACAUCUGCCUGCACCUGAACCGCUCACUGCUGCAGCACUGCAAACCCUUCCGAGGGGCCACCAAGGGCUGCCUUCGGGCCCUGGCCAUGAAGUUCAAGACCACACAUGCACCGCCAGGGGACACACUGGUGCAUGCUGGGGACCUGCUCACCGCCCUGUACUUCAUCUCCCGGGGCUCCAUCGAGAUCCUGCGGGGCGACGUCGUCGUGGCCAUCCUGGGUAUGGGGUGGGGGGCGGGCACUGGACUGGAAAUGCCCUCUGCAGCCUCAAGAGGUGCGAGCCUUCUGAAUAUGCAGUCACUGGGGCUGUGGACCUGGGACUGCCUGCAGGGUCACUGGGCUCCUUUAAUUCACCUAAACUCAGGCCCUCCAAGCGGGGCCAUGGAGAGGAGCCCCACGUGGGGUGGGGCUGCUGAACUCUGGGGUUCCCACAUUCUCCUUCCCUUCAGGAUCCGCCACAAACAGAUACUUUUUGCUUCGUUAAAGUAGGAUCAAAUCUAGAUCCUCCAGCCUGGGCAGUAGAGGAAGAAAUGCUAGCCUGGAAGCUCGGCAUUUGGUUUCACUAAGGGCCAUGUGGUUCCCUGCAGCCUCAUGCCUGGCCCCUUGACAUAUCCAAAGCAAAGGGAGUCCUGCCCCCUCCCCCCACUUCCUUUGUACCUUGCCUGUGCACAGUGGGUGGGUUGGUGUGUCUGGACACUGAGGACUUCCUCCCCUCUGCCUGUUCUUCCCUCGGCCCUGUGUGCCUCAGGGCAGAUAUAGCAAACUCUUUCAACCAUAGUUGAUAGUAGGACAUUUUAGAUUUUGUUUCUUAGCUCUGUACAAACACAAAUACACACCCCCACACAACUAAAAUCAAAGUUUCACUACAUAACACUGGGCCUUACUGCAUGUGGUUCGUUCUAGCAUUUCUGUUCUGUGCUGUGCUAAGCUAUACUACUGUAUGUUCUUUCAGUAAAAAAAA
Molecule: small RNA, 2430 nt
Filed under: Pongo abelii (Sumatran orangutan)
Lineage: Eukaryota; Metazoa; Chordata; Mammalia; Primates; Hominidae
Description: retained intron
Source: RNAcentral